GACGAACGCUGGCGGCGUGCUUAACACAUGCAAGUCGAACGGAAAGACCCGGCGUUUGCGCGGUGCUCGAUUGGCGAACGCGGGAGUAACACGUGAGUAACCUGCACUUGACUGUGGGAUAACUUCACGAAACUGGGGCGAAUACAGGAUAGGAGCUCCUGCAGCAUGGGGGGGGUUGGAAAGUUUCGGCGGUUGGGGAUGGACUAGCGGCUUAUCAGCUUGUUGGUGUAGUAGUGGAUUACCAAGGCUUCGACGGGUAGCCCGCCUGAGAGGGUGACCAGCGACAAUGGGACUGCGAGACGGACCAGUAUCCUAUGGGCGGCAGCAGUGGGGAACAUUGCGGAGUGGGCGGGCGCCUGAUGUAGAAACGUCGCGUGCGUGAUGACGGCCUUCGGGUUGUAAACCGCUUUCGACUGUGCCGUAGAGUGAGUGACGGUAAUGGGUCAGAAAGCCCCGGCUAACUACGUG
RNAcentral lists this ribosomal RNA (468 nucleotides) under uncultured bacterium. RNAcentral's name for it is "partial 16S ribosomal RNA". It matches the Rfam family "Bacterial small subunit ribosomal RNA", at positions 28 to 507 of the family's 1533-position model. The record is from RNAcentral.